CGGAAGUAGCGCAGGAAGCGCGAAAAGAUAGAACAGGGACACGAAGGAUUUCCUGCCAGGACGGCGGGUUGAUAGGGAUGUCGAAGGGAAACAGUCUGGAAAACCCCGCUUAGGCGGGGUUUU
This 123-nucleotide small RNA is filed under the name Pseudomonas mosselii. Lineage: Bacteria; Pseudomonadati; Pseudomonadota; Gammaproteobacteria; Pseudomonadales; Pseudomonadaceae. The record is from RNAcentral.